Molecule: long non-coding RNA, 1028 nt
Filed under: Homo sapiens (human)
Lineage: Eukaryota; Metazoa; Chordata; Mammalia; Primates; Hominidae
Description: HSALNT0290209
Source: RNAcentral
GGUUUCGCCAUGUUGGCCAGCCUGGUUUCGAACUCCUAAUCUCAGGUGAUGUGCCCAUCUUGGCCUCCCAAAGUGCUGGGAUUACAGCAAAAUAACUUUUAAGGGGUUAAAAAAAGCUUAGUUUCAAUGAGACUUAAUGUUAAAAUAAUUCAUGGUUUUCUACUCCCAAUUAAGCAAAUGCUAAUUUGUAUGAAGUAUGGCAAUACCUUCAACGAAUUCUUUUCUUAUAUUUUUCAGUUUCCUCCUCCUCCUGGAAACGUUUUCUACUCUGCCCAGCUCAAAAGCCACCCUCUCCUUUGCCAGCCUUUGCCCACCUGGGCCUCCUUCCCAGACACCUAGAGUUGGACAUUCGUCACUCCUGCCCUCACACAGACCUCAGACCCUGGGAGGCAUCACUGACCUCUUUCCUCAGAUGUCCUCUGGGGUCAGCUUAGUGCUCCAGGACACAAAGGGGACUCAGCACCUGUUACUGAGUUGACUGUAUGCAUUUGCCAUAGCUGACAGUACAGAAGGCUUAUGAAAAUAAAACCUGUUUUUCAUGGCACAAUAAACUAAGCAUUUUUUAAAAUAAGUAGGCCAGUAGGUCAAGAAUUCUAUAACUCAAAAAAAUAAACUUACCCAAAGUAGCCUUAAGGCUCCAUUAGAAAUAGAGGCUGAAUGAUUAUUAUUAUUAUUAUUAUUAUUAUUAUUUUUUUUUUUUUGAGACAGAGUCUCGCUCUGUUGCCAGGGUGGAGUGCAGUGGCUUGAUCUCGGCUCACUGCAACCUCCACCUCCCGGGUUCAAGCGAUUCUCCUGCCUCAGCUUCCCAAGUAGCUGGGACUACAGGCGUGCGCCACCACGCCCAGCUAAUUUUUUAGAGACGGGGUUUCACCAUGUUGGCCAGGCUGGUCUCGAACUCCUGAGUUUGUGACCCACCCGCCUCGGCCUCCCAAAGUGCUGGGAUUACAGGCAUGAGCCACUACGCCCAGCUCUGCCUCCUUUCUUUAGAGGCAGCUGAAAAUCAGAGUGGACUGGCUGGAAGUUUCCAG